RNAcentral lists this ribosomal RNA (565 nucleotides) under uncultured fungus. Its description in RNAcentral is "eukaryotic LSU rRNA". The stretch from base 200 to 353 matches the Rfam family "5.8S ribosomal RNA". The record is from RNAcentral. Lineage: Eukaryota; Fungi.
AAGUCGUAACAAGGUCUCCGUUGGUGAACCAGCGGAGGGAUCAUUACAGAGUCUCCGAACUCCAAACCUUUGUGAACAUACCACCGUUGCUUCGGCGGGACCCCCCGGGACGGGCACUGCACGCCCCGGGCGCCCGCCGAGGGCCCCAAACCAUCUUAUCCACAGUGGACUCUUCAGAGUUUGAUAUACAAUCAAUCAAAACUUUCAGCAACGGAUCUCUUGGCUCUGGCAUCGAUGAAGAACGCAGCAAAAUGCGAUAAGUAAUGUGAAUUGCAGAAUUCAGUGAAUCAUCGAAUCUUUGAACGCACAUUGCGCCCGCCAGCAUCCUGGCGGGCAUGCCUGUCCGAGCGUCAUUUCAACCCUCAGGGCCCGUCCGCGGGACCUGGCGUUGGGGAUCGGCCGCGCCCACCGAGGCCGGCCGGCCCUGAAAUGCAGUGGCGGUCACGUCGCGACCUCCCCCGCGUAGUAACUCACCUCGCGGCGGGAAGGCGGCGCGGCCACGCCGUGAAACCCCCUACUUCUCAAGGUUGACCUCGGAUCAGGUAGGAAUACCCGCUGAACUUAA